UUUAAGUGCAACCAUAAGUUUCCGCAUUCAACUUUGAUCAUCCGUCUUAUUUAAUUUUUUUUAUAUUUAGUAUUUUUGUUGUUAUGAGAUGAUAAAACAUGAAUAAUACUUUACUAGUGACUUAUGUUUUUAAUUUUUUUCAAAAAAUUUUCAAAUAAGACAGACGUUUAAAGCUAAGCGCGAAAAACCAUGGCUGCACUUAAA
Molecule: non-coding RNA, 204 nt
Organism: Oryza glumipatula
Lineage: Eukaryota; Viridiplantae; Streptophyta; Magnoliopsida; Poales; Poaceae
Source: Rfam